AUGGUAGUCAAAAUUGUGGUCUAUAUUUUGUUGGCAAUUCUGGUUGCCAUCAUCUGUGUUGAAUGGUAAAAGUCCUUUUGAAAUGAUGUUUGCUUUUAGGCCCUCUUUGUCUCAUCUUAGAAACUUUGGAUGCUUAUGUUUUAGUACUAUUUUACAUGAUUCUGACAAGUUUUCAUUUAAUGCUGAAAAAUGUGUUUUCAUUGGUUACUCAAGUUUUAAAAAAGGAUACAAGUUGUGGAGUUUGGA
Molecule: long non-coding RNA, 246 nt
Filed under: Helianthus annuus (common sunflower)
Lineage: Eukaryota; Viridiplantae; Streptophyta; Magnoliopsida; Asterales; Asteraceae
Description: sRNA HanXRQr2_Chr17g0779571
Source: RNAcentral